This 497-nucleotide ribosomal RNA is filed under the name uncultured bacterium. Its description in RNAcentral is "bacterial SSU rRNA". It matches the Rfam family "Bacterial small subunit ribosomal RNA", at positions 21 to 507 of the family's 1533-position model. The record is from RNAcentral.
GGCUCAGGAUGAACGCUAGCUACAGGCUUAACACAUGCAAGUCGAGGGGCAGCAUGGUCUUAGCUUGCUAAGGCCGAUGGCGACCGGCGCACGGGUGAGUAACACGUAUCCAACCUGCCGUCUACUCUUGGACAGCCUUCUGAAAGGAAGAUUAAUACAAGAUGGCAUCAUGAGUCCGCAUGUUCACAUGAUUAAAGGUAUUCCGGUAGACGAUGGGGAUGCGUUCCAUUAGAUAGUAGGCGGGGUAACGGCCCACCUAGUCUUCGAUGGAUAGGGGUUCUGAGAGGAAGGUCCCCCACAUUGGUACUGAGACACGGACCAAACUCCUACGGGAGGCAGCAGUGAGGAAUAUUGGUCAAUGGGCGUAAGCCUGAACCAGCCAAGUCGCGUGAGGGAUGAAGGUUCUAUGGAUCGUAAACCUCUUUUAUAAGGGAAUAAAGUGUAGGACGUGUCCUAUUUUGUAUGUACCUUAUGAAUAAGGAUCGGCUAACUCCGUG